RNAcentral lists this ribosomal RNA (155 nucleotides) under uncultured bacterium. Its description in RNAcentral is "partial 16S ribosomal RNA". The record is from RNAcentral.
CACGGAGUUAGCCGGUGCUUAUUCCUCUGGUACCGUCAGUUGAACUAGAAAGUCCCUUUUUCGUCCCAGAUAAAAGAAGUUUACAACCCAGAGGGCCUUCAUCCUCCACGCGGCAUGGCUGGUUCAGACUUGCGUCCAUUGACCAAUAUUCCUUA